Molecule: ribosomal RNA, 253 nt
Filed under: uncultured bacterium
Lineage: Bacteria
Description: partial 16S ribosomal RNA
Rfam family: Bacterial small subunit ribosomal RNA
Source: RNAcentral
UACGUAGGGGGCGAGCGUUGUCCGGAAUUAUUGGGCGUAAAGCGCACGCAGGCGGUUCGCUAAGUUCGAAGUGACAAUCACCGGCUUAACCGGUGAACGAUUUCGAAAACUGGCGGACUGGAGAGCGAGGGAGGGACAUGGAACUCCGGGUGGAGCGGUGAGAUGCGUAGAUAUUCGGAAGAACACCAGUGGCGAAGGCGACUUACUGGACACAUAUUGACGCUGAGGUGCGAAAGCGUGGGGAGCAAACAGG